GUCUAUGACCAUACCACCCUGAAUGUGCCUGAUCUCCUCUGAUCUUGGAAGCUAAGCAAGGUCGGGCCUGGUUAGUACUUGAAUGAGAGAAAACGUACUUUUCUAUCCU
Gorilla gorilla gorilla (western lowland gorilla) is the source of this 109-nucleotide ribosomal RNA. NCBI's taxonomy places the organism in Eukaryota, Metazoa, Chordata, Mammalia, Primates, Hominidae. The record is from Ensembl.